AAAACAGAAACUAAUACUUAAAAUUGCUUUGACAUCUAAGAAUAAAAUUCUACUAUAAAUCAACUUGGCCUUCAUGUCUACGUUACAGUGUAGGGGUGAUUGACUGGCUACAAAAAAGAGUUGGGCAAGCUUAAUAGGUGAACAAGAAAACUUCUGUGUGUCCAUCAAAUGAUAUACAAGAGCCAGUGUUUGGCAAGAUUAUAGAUUAUUCAGACUGAAGGUGGCAUGGAUUGCCUUGAAAUUUACUAUGAUUAUACAUUUGUGAUUCUUGGAUUGCUUUCAUGUGUUGACAUCAUCAGAUCCAAACAUACCGAAAGUUCUAAAACAUUAAGAUUACAUUAACAGAAAUCUUUAGGAAAUCCGUAAGCAUGGAACUUGAACCAGAAGUGGAUGAAAAUCAAGUAGCUGCAGAAAGUGCAAAAAAAGCACCAAAAAAAGUGCAAAUAAUUUGGUCAGGAAACCAGGAGAAGUGUAAAGCUCAGAAUUGCAGUGGAAAAUAUAGAGAGCUUCUGGAACAGCUACAUGUGGCUCAAAAGUUAAAACAUGAGUGAUUCAAGAGACAUGAAUUUAAACCAAAAGAUAAAAAAUUACUAAUGGCAGCUGAAGUUAACAGAUUACACUAGAUGGUUCAAAAAAAUCCAUAAAAAAAGGCAGAAUAUACAGACAAUUGUAGAUUUUGCAGUGCAGACUAUAAACAGUUGUGCAACUUUUAGACCGUGAUAAACGUAUGACUGGAUGUCUGUAACUCAAGACAUGACACUAUGGCAAGGUUGUUACAAUGGAUAUUUUAAAUUCCAACAUAUAGAUAGUAUUGGAACCAGGAACCACAAAGAAUUACUGAAGGUAAUGAUUGCGUGAGUUCAUCCCAUACCAACAGGUUGAUGUCCCUGUAGGGGCAGGAAAUGAAGACAGUGGCAACUGUCAGUGGCCACAGAGUGGCAGAGAGAGCGCAGAGUAAGAUGGCAGGAACAGAAUCAGCCCACAAGUUUGGAAGUGGAAGAAUCUGCAGAUCCCUGACUGAGUAGAUUAACUUGGAGACGUCCACACUGCUGGCAUGGUGAGAUAUCCCUGCAAAGAAAGUCCUAACAGAUGAAUAUCUUUAUUAAUCUUCAUGUCCAUAUGAACAGUGUUUCAUCAAAGAUGCAACUUUUUCCAGAGACCUUUGACAUUUGCCAGUUUUGCACCUAAGUGGAGAUACCUAAAGAUGUUAACAAUGACAUUUUUUGCUACCAGAGUUGUUCAUCAUAUGUUCAAUCUUAUGGAUUCAAAGACUAAUUCUGUUAAAGAAAUGGAAACUGAACAUCCUUUCAGACCUGUACUUGAAAAUGCUGAUAUUUGCCUAUGAGAGGAAGGAAGAAAUAACGGCCAGUUCACCACAAAUAUGGGACUGUUAAUAUACCUUUUAGUAAUGAUACCUGUACUGCAUUUAGAGAAGCUAAAACUAUUCCAUUUUGGGAGGUAUAUGCAACAUAUCUGGGGGAAAAGCAUAUAAAUGACUCCUGAAGGUUGGAGUGGUCUCUGUUAUUUAGGAGAUGUAAGUCCACCAAUUAGGCACACUUUUACCUUGCUUAGUGAUAUUAGGAAUGUUAAACUUAAAAGACACAAUGACAUGGCAAAAACAGAUGUAGGAGAUGAUGUCCUGCAGAAGCUUCAAUCUUUCCCCUUUAUAGAGCAGGGAAAGAAAUUUGGGAAAUAUGUAGGUUAUCACUGAUGUUAGAGGAAGUACUGUGUUUUACCAAUUGAUAUGUAUUUGCUAGUAAAUGUGAUACUUGUGAAUUGGUGAGAAGGGAAUGCCGUAUUUACAUUCUUAUUUUCCUGAUAAUGAACCUGAAAUCAAGAUCACCCUCAAGCUAAUUGAGAAGAUGAUAAAAAACACAGAGAAAGAAACAUGGCUAUCUUGGCUGAGAGGUCCUGUCAGUGGUAGUGGGGCUUAUACUGGUUAUAGCUGGCAUUCUAGGUUGUGUGAGCCUAGUAAGUGUUACCAUCAACUGUGGAAUGGAGUGUAUAAGGCAUCAAGCAGCGGAACAAGUGCAUCAGGUCCAAAAUAUAGUGUGAUUUAUGAAGUGCAUUGAACCGGUAGUUUCUGAACUAAGAAAAAACAUGCAUGGUUUUCAUGUUUAUUCAGGGAAAUUGUUAUAGUAUUGCAAUCUCAAACAAACGUGAGACAUAAUGUUACAAAAUCUUCCCUGUGAAUAAUAUAUG
Molecule: long non-coding RNA, 2202 nt
Organism: Protopterus annectens (West African lungfish)
Lineage: Eukaryota; Metazoa; Chordata; Ceratodontiformes; Protopteridae
Exons: 3
Source: RefSeq, a predicted model, not a curated record